GUGCCAGCAGCCGCGGUAAUACGGAGGGUCCGAGCGUUAAUCGGAAUUACUGGGCGUAAAGCGUGCGCAGGCGGUUUGUUAAGCGAGAUGUGAAAGCCCCGGGCUCAACCUGGGAACUGCAUUUUGAACUGGCAAACUAGAGUCUUGUAGAGGGGGGUAGAAUUUCCAGGUGUAGCGGUGAAAUGCGUAGAGAUCUGGAGGAAUACCGGUGGCGAAGGCGGCCCCCUGGACAAAGACUGACGCUCAUGCACGAAAGCGUGGGGAGCAAACAGGAUUAGAUACCCUGGUAGUCC
This 293-nucleotide ribosomal RNA is filed under the name uncultured microorganism. RNAcentral describes it as "partial 16S ribosomal RNA". It matches the Rfam family "Bacterial small subunit ribosomal RNA", at positions 505 to 796 of the family's 1533-position model. The record is from RNAcentral.